RNAcentral lists this unclassified non-coding RNA (250 nucleotides) under Scytalidium sp. RNAcentral's name for it is "partial internal transcribed spacer region". The stretch from base 1 to 46 matches the Rfam family "Eukaryotic small subunit ribosomal RNA", at positions 1786 to 1831 of the family's 1831-position model. The record is from RNAcentral. Lineage: Eukaryota; Fungi; Ascomycota; Leotiomycetes.
AAGUCGUAACAAGGUCUCCGUAGGUGAACCUGCGGAGGGAUCAUUACCGAGUUCAUGCCCUCACGGGUAGAUCUCCCCACCCUUGUGUAUUUUCAUGUUUGUGUUGCUUUGGCAGGCCGUGGGCCGCGCCCACCACCGGCUCCCGGGCUGGUGCGUGCCUGCCAGAGGACCCUUUUAAACUCUGUUUGUCAGUGUCGUCUGAGUAUGAUAACAAUCGUUAAAACUUUCAACAACGGAUCUCUUGGUUCUG